This 590-nucleotide ribosomal RNA is filed under the name uncultured bacterium. RNAcentral's name for it is "partial 16S ribosomal RNA". It matches the Rfam family "Bacterial small subunit ribosomal RNA", at positions 355 to 1375 of the family's 1533-position model. The record is from RNAcentral.
UGGGGAAUUUUGGACAAUGGGCGAAAGCCUGAUCCAGCAAUGCCGCGUGUGUGAAGAAGGCCUUCGGGUUGUAAAGCACUUUUGUCCGGAAAGAAAUCCUUGGCUCUAAUACAGUCGGGGGAUGACGGUACCGGAAGAAUAAGCACCGGCUAACUACGUGCCAGCAGCCGCGGUAAUACGUAGGGUGCAAGCGUUAAUCGGAAUUACUGGGCGUAAAGCGUGCGCAGGCGGUUUGCUAAGACCGAUGUGAAAUCCCCGGGCUCAACCUGGGAACUGCAUUGGUGACUGGCAGGCUAGAGUAUGGCAGAGGGGGGUAGAAUUUCCACGUGUAGCAGUGAAAUGCGUAGAGAUGUGGAGGAAUACCGAUGGCGAAGGCAGCCCCCUGGGCCAAUACUGACGCUCAUGCACGAAAGCGUGGGGGAGCAAAACAGGAUUAGAUACCCUGGUAGUCCACGCCCUAAAACGAUGUCAACUAGUUGUUGGGGGGUUCAUUUCCUUAGUAACGUAGCUAACGCGUGAAGUUGACCGCCUGGGGAGUACGGUCGCAAGAUUAAAACUCAAAUGAAUUGACGGGGUCAUAGCUGUUUCCU